CCUACGGGAGGCAGCAGUGGGGAAUAUUGCACAAUGGGGGAAACCCUGAUGCAGCGACGCCGCGUGAGUGAAGAAGUAUUUCGGUACGUAAAGCUCUAUCAGCAGGGAAGAAAAUGACGGUACCUGACUAAGAAGCCCCGGCUAACUACGUGCCAGCAGCCGCGGUAAUACGUAGGGGGCAAGCGUUAUCCGGAUGUACUGGGUGUAAAGGGAGCGUAGACGGCAGCGCAAGUCUGGAGUGAAAUCCCAUGGCUUAACCAUGGAACUGCUUUGGAAACUGUGCAGCUAGAGUGCAGGAGAGGUAAGCGGAAUGCCUAGUGUAGCGGUGAAAUGCGUAGAUAUUAGGAGGAACACCAGUGGCGAAGGCGGCUUACUGGACUGUAACUGACGUUGAGGCUCGAAAGCGUGGGGAGCAAACAGGAUUAGAUACCCUAGUAGUC
Molecule: ribosomal RNA, 440 nt
Filed under: uncultured bacterium
Lineage: Bacteria
Description: partial 16S ribosomal RNA
Rfam family: Bacterial small subunit ribosomal RNA
Source: RNAcentral